This 65-nucleotide transfer RNA is filed under the name Dipodomys ordii (Ord's kangaroo rat). It matches the Rfam family "tRNA". From Rfam's summary of the family: Transfer RNA (tRNA) molecules are approximately 80 nucleotides in length. The record is from Rfam by way of RNAcentral. Lineage: Eukaryota; Metazoa; Chordata; Mammalia; Rodentia; Heteromyidae.
GGUGGCUCAGCGGUAGAGCACUCGCCUUGCAUGCAUGAGGUCCUGGGUUCGAUUCCCCAGCACCA